UACGGAGGGUGCGAGCGUUGUCCGGAUUUAUUGGGUUUAAAGGGUGCGUAGGUGGCUGAUUAAGUCAGUGGUGAAAUACAGCCGCUCAACGGUUGAGGUGCCAUUGAUACUGAUUAGCUUGAAAGAAUUGGAGGCUGCCGGAAUGGAUGGUGUAGCGGUGAAAUGCAUAGAUAUCAUCCAGAACACCGAUUGCGAAGGCAGGUGGCUACGAUUUAUUUGACACUGAGGCACGAAAGCAUGGGGAGCAAACAGG
This 253-nucleotide ribosomal RNA is filed under the name uncultured bacterium. RNAcentral describes it as "partial 16S ribosomal RNA". It matches the Rfam family "Bacterial small subunit ribosomal RNA", at positions 524 to 776 of the family's 1533-position model. The record is from RNAcentral.